Molecule: ribosomal RNA, 465 nt
Filed under: uncultured bacterium
Lineage: Bacteria
Description: partial 16S ribosomal RNA
Rfam family: Bacterial small subunit ribosomal RNA
Source: RNAcentral
CCUACGGGCGGCAGCAGUAGGGAAUCUUCCACAAUGGGCGAAAGCCUGAUGGAGCAACGCCGCGUGGGUGAAGAAGGUCUUCGGAUCGUAAAACCCUGUUGUUAGAGAAGAAAGUGCGUGAGAGUAACUGUUCACGUUUCGACGGUAUCUAACCAGAAAGCCACGGCUAACUACGUGCCAGCAGCCGCGGUAAUACGUAGGUGGCAAGCGUUAUCCGGAUUUAUUGGGCGUAAAGGGAACGCAGGCGGUCUUUUAAGUCUGAUGGGAAAGCCUUCGGCUUAACCGGAGUAGUGCAUCGGAAACUGGGAGACUUGAGUGCAGAAGAGGAGAGUGGAACUCCAUGUGUAGCGGUGAAAUGCGUAGAUAUAUGGAAGAACACCAGUGGCGAAAGCGGCUCUCUGGUCUGUAACUGACGCUGAGGUUCGAAAGCGUGGGUAGCAAACAGGAUUAGAUACCCGAGUAGUC